Molecule: ribosomal RNA, 605 nt
Filed under: uncultured bacterium
Lineage: Bacteria
Description: bacterial SSU rRNA
Rfam family: Bacterial small subunit ribosomal RNA
Source: RNAcentral
UGGUAAGGUAAUGGCUUACCAAGGCGACGAUGGGUAGCCGGCCUGAGAGGGUGUACGGCCACACUGGGACUGAGACACGGCCCAGACUCCUACGGGAGGCAGCAGUAGGGAAUAUUGCGCAAUGGAGGGAACUCUGACGCAGCGACGCCGCGUGAGCGAUGAAGGUCUUCGGAUCGUAAAGCUCUGUCCUUGGGGAAGAAGGGUGUUUUAUAGUAUCUUGACGGUACCCGAGGAGGAAGCCCCGGCUAACUACGUGCCAGCAGCCGCGGUAAUACGUAGGGGGCAAGCGUUGUCCGGAAUUAUUGGGCGUAAAGGGUGCGUAGGCGGCCUUUUAAGUCAGGUGUGAAAGCCCACGGCUUAACCGUGGGAUUGCAUUUGAAACUGGAAGGCUUGAGUAUCGGAGAGGGUAGUGGAAUUCCCAGUGUAGCGGUGAAAUGCGUAGAUAUUGGGAGGAACACCAGUGGCGAAGGCGACUACCUGGACGAAAACUGACGCUGAUGCACGAAAGCUAGGGGAGCAAACAGGAUUAGAUACCCUGGUAGUCCUAGCUGUAAACGAUGGGUACUAGGUGUAGGAGGUUUCGAUACCUUCUGUGCCGGAGUUAA